RNAcentral lists this small RNA (2815 nucleotides) under Rattus norvegicus (Norway rat). RNAcentral's name for it is "uncharacterized LOC102554055". The record is from RNAcentral. Lineage: Eukaryota; Metazoa; Chordata; Mammalia; Rodentia; Muridae.
UUCAAAAUUCCUGAUUUAAAAAGGAAGAAGGAAAAAGCCCUGCCCAGUGACUGUACUAAUCGGGCAGCAGGUGAGAUACAGUUGUGGCUCAAGUGUUUAAAAGAACUAAGUGUACUUGUCCACAAACAUUUUUCUUACUGCCAGGAUUCAGUCGCUUUAACGCUCUCAAAAGCUCAUAAAUUACUUAAAAGUGUGUGUUCUGCACUUUUCCCCCAGAAAUCUCUGUGGACGGCCAUGUAAAUGGUGUGCAGCGUUGAUGAAUUACACCUUUCUUCCUGAUGCAAGGCUGAUUUUCCUUUUAUUAAAUGGUCAUGUGCCAAGACAAUCCGUGGCCUGACGGUCAAUUAAAUUUCAAAGGACUUCAAAGGCCAAGCUUAGCGAGUUCCCUUUCUUUCUGAUGCCUUAAUAGCAACAGCCUCAAAUUCCUUGGGGGGAAAAAAUUAAAAUGCAGUUCAUCUGAAGUCGGCGUUGGAUAAUUAUAAAAUAUUGUUUUGCAAUUUCUUUUAAGAAGUGAACUUCAUUUUAAGGAGCAGAUGUGACAGUCACUGGAGGGGUGGGACAAUGGGAGGUUAACAAUGGCUUUGCUAACAUGUCAAGAAGGCAACGACUUCGUGUGCUACGGAAGAUAUUUUAAUUCGGCUCCAUUGUUUCGGAGGCAGAUUUGCAUAUCUCAGAGGGGGAAGCUCCACCCGCGAGGCCCACGGCUCGGGCAUAAAUCUUACAGUUCAUGUGACCGACCACUGUAAACAAACGGCUUGUGGGGCUCCGACCUGGGAAGUCACUCAGGAUGGGGUGGGAACUGGGAUUUUCCACUGCCCAUCACCAUCACACUCUACACCGCCCUUCAGUCUCCUGCAGGGAAAAGUACCCAGAUUUCCUAUCAGGAUCCAAACAAACCCACGGAGGAGGAUCUCCAGCUACUGCUGUCCACACCGCAGUGAAGGCAUGGCGCCUUGGCCCCCCAGAUCUGUGGUCCUUAGAGGGACAGCUCGAAAUCAAAAAGUACCUGGAAACCAUGGUUUGCAAGUUGAAAUCUGGAGAUUCCUCCUGCGAGAUUAUAGAGAGCAGUUUUGACAUCACGGAACACUGAAAUUUAUAAAUGAGGUGAUUUGGUUGCCUGACAUCUACUGGAGACUAACCAUGUGUCCCAGAAAGACGAUGAACUUGAGGGAGGAGGAGUUGAGAUGGCAAGAGGGUGAAAGAGUUCCUGUUGACUUUGGGCAGUAACACUGAUAUUCCGGCCUCUCGACAGUGUAACUUGAGAAAUGCUGCUGAGCAGGGUGAGGAAGCCCAUGGAGCCUGUCUGGAGUGCCUCCAGUCCCCAUGUUCCCUUGGGCUGCAGCGGAAAUAUUCUAGGCAUGAGGUACCUGUGGACUCGAAUUCCACACUAGUGACAGUGAGCGACACAUAUGGAGCUGGGGGAAGAUAUCUCAGCAAUCAAGCAGUUGACGCCUCUGUAGUUCUCAGGACCUAAGUCCGGUGAACCACAACUCAGUUGUGGGGGAACCCAACUCUUCCUGUAGGCACCUGAACUCACGCCUGUGUGACUGCACACGUGCACAGCACCAAAGAAAAUGUUCCUUCUUCGUGGUCAUGAGACUAAGUAUUUGGAAUCAUAACAUUUAUGAUGUAGCACUGAACCAUGAUUUUGCGACACCUAGAGCAGCCAUGUGGGUCAACCCUCAGCAGACUAUGGCUUGAAGGAGUUGUCAGUCAUAACUGUCUACAGGCAACCAUGCAUGAGGCAUCUCUCUAUCAUGGGACACUGCUGCAUUGAUCUCCCACCAGAAAACUAAGAGAAACCACCAGCGGCUAAUGGCACUCCAGAGAUAGUUUAAGUUGCUUCUGCAAGACAUCUUGUCAUGUGGUGAUCUACUCAUCUAAGAGGAUGAGGAACUUUUGGAGCGCCGUGGUGACCUUGAAGGUGACAAUGACACCAUCCAUUCCUAGAACAUUGUGACAGCUGCCACCUGAACGGGUAAAAGUGGUACAUGGGGAUCUACCCCCCCCAGAUGGCAGGACGCUCACAGAAGGGUCAGAUGGUGCAGGUAAACACUCCCACUCAUGAGUAUUUUUCUAUUAAGGGAGGUUGCUCUAUGCCUAGCUAGGUUUGCCCCAUGUUGCUCUUUGCUUUCUGCUUGGGAGUAGCUUUCCCCUGUGCUUUCCUCUCCUUCGUAGUCACCCUCUUCUGAUAUGCUCAUUAGUAAACCCAGAGCUGCUUUUACUAGUACAGAAUAGCACUAGCCUGCAGCAACACAUCUCAGGGUAGAGAGUUCGGCUCUCUUGUCACAUCUCUGUAUUCAGACUCUUACAGACAUGACCGGCAACAACACCUUGGUAACCUUAUUCACCUGUCCACCUGUUCCGAUUGUAAUCUACCAGAGAGCAGAAGCCUGCAGGGGCCUUUGUCUUGUGUGUUUCUGCGGUCGCAUCCUGCUUCCUUAGGAGAGGAGCGGGGAAGAUACUGUUUCAAUUCAGGAGAACUAAGUGGUAAACUUUUUCUGUCUGUGACGAUACUGUUUCAAUUCAGGAGAGCUAAGUGGUAAAACUUUUUCUGUCUAUUUUUGUUUCAUUUCAAGUUGGGGUUUUCCUCCAAUGCUCUGUCCCUCCUGUCCUGUUUUAGACAAGCUGAUCUCAGAAACUGGGUAAUUGCACACAGUCAGCACAACCCGGCAAAGAUGUAUUGUCCACCAAACCUGCCAGUUGUAAUCAUUAAAAUCACGGCAGACUUCAUAAAAGGCUAUGUAGCUACUCCUGAUGUUGAACCAAUUUCUUUCUCUGUUGCUGUGAUAAUAAAAUACUUCGACAAAAGUGA